Molecule: long non-coding RNA, 1227 nt
Filed under: Oryctolagus cuniculus (rabbit)
Lineage: Eukaryota; Metazoa; Chordata; Mammalia; Lagomorpha; Leporidae
Description: lncRNA (ENSOCUG00000037127.1)
Source: RNAcentral
GAUUAAGUGGAGUAUAUUACUUCAGCAAAAGGGGUGGGAUGGGGAUGGAGGGAGAAUCUGAAUGUGACCAGAAAGAGAAGGAAGAGGAUUGUGUGGAAAAGAGGUGCACUGUGGUGCUGGCUGCCAUAAAGCCAGUGAGUUCGUCCGUCUUGAAGGUUACUUCUGAUUUGUCACUCAGUGGGUUCAGUUUACAGGGGCAAAGAACCAAGACAUCCCAUUUUGGGUAGGUACAUAGUGCAUUUCUGAUGGGCUGCUAUAGGCAGGGGUUCAUUUGUUCAUUUGCUUUAAAUAACAGAUUAGUGAUUUCGUGCAAUUGACAUUUAACCCCGGGCAUUAAUUAAAACUGACAUGCUGUGUCAUUUGGGCAAGUGUGGGUUGGAAGAAGGUAAUAUGGUACUUCCAGCAAACAAACUGUGAAAAUCUUUUCAAAACUUCUUUAUGUGUUUAUGAUGUGUUUAUUGAUUUUAAUGACACUGAUAUAAUUUGGGGCAAGUUCCCCCAAAUUGAGCAGCAUCCUGCAUUCAGUUGUUGGGGAGGUAAGCAAGGGUUGGAAGUGUUUUACCAUGAAUCACCUUUAUCCAAAUGUUUAUUACAUUCAAAAAAUAUGUCAGGCACUAUGUUCAGUAAGUCCGUGUACCUCCCUUUGUUACAAUUUUCUUGCAAUUGUGUAUUAAUCCUGUCAUGAAUUUUACUGAGCACCCACUAUGUGCCUGUAGCUGGGGAUCAUGCUGUAGAUAAAAUAGAUGAGGCUUCUUAUCUUAUGGGAGGCUACAUCCAGCUCAACUAGAGAGACAGUUAUCAUAAAUAGACUGUAAGUUCCACACAGCCAGGGGUUUGUGUCUAUUGUAGCUCCAUCAAUUAGAAUGGGACCUGACAAAUAGCAUAUACUUGCUAAUUUUUGUAAAAAAUUUUAAAGUUGAGAGGGUGGGAAUUAGAGAACUGAAUUAUUAAGUCCAUGGAUCUCUAUGCCUAUAAAAUACAUAUGUUUUCUAGAUAGUAUCGGUUUUUAAAAUAUUAACAAAUUUGGAAAGAAAGAGAGGCCUUCUAUUUCACCAGUUCACUCCCCAGAUGACCACAAUGGUCAGGUCUCAGGCCAUGUGGAAGCCAGAAGCCUGUAACUCAGUUCAGGUCUCCUACCUGUGUCUCUCAGGGUGCACUGUAGUAGGAAGCUGGAAUUGAAAGCAAAACUGGAACUUGAAUCCAAGCACUCCAUCUGAUGUGGAAAUG